AUGACAGGUAUAGGGACAGGGGGCCGGGAGCACGAGGGCAUGGAGGGCUCAGCGUCGGGAACCACCACACUUCACCAGCCCUGGAUCCCAAAGUGGGGGUGGCGCGGACCCACUAACCAUCACCCCUCCCCACUGCGCACGCACAUCGCCCUUGAGAUAAUGACGCCAGGAAUCACUGCCUUCUCAACUGGGAUGGGCCCAGCACCUGCACUUCUGGUUUCUCCUGGGGCUGGGGUACGGGGGACCUACGUUCUGAGGCUUCCGUCCCUUCCUCGACACCACCACCAAAGACUUGGGUCUGGAAAUCUCCCCACGGCCUGGACUCAGGACAGGGCAUGGAGGCCCUGGGCCGGGAGGACGCACAAGGUUACCCUGCCCGGGGAUGCUGCGGGGCCUGGGGGGGCAGCAAGAGACGGUGGGGUGGGGGGCAUGAAGAUGGGGUCAAGGAUGACUCCCUGUUGCCCAGAGCGCGGCUCCGCCUGGGUACGGGCGGGCACAGUCCUGGACUGCCUUCACGGAAGCUGGCACUUUCCACAAGCAGGAAAGGGAGUGUGCGGACCGUCCGUCACACGCACGAUGCCCACCACAGUACGCGGCUCCGCGCCAGAGCAGGUCCCCAGGAGAAGCUUUCACCAACACUCCCCGCGUGUCCCCCCAACAUCAUUUACUGACCCGGUGAGGAGGCACUCGGAGGUGAAACUUCAGGCUCAGGUUAAAUCUAACCCUGGAAGCUGGGGGAAGAGACACCCAGAGCCCAGCGUCUCUGCCACGGGGAGUGAACAGGAGGCGCAGGCCUGCCUGUGGGGAGGAGCACUGUGUCUGUCAGCAGGAACAGGCCCAGAGGCGUGCCCGGCCUCUGCGGCGCUGCCGGACUCCUCCUGGAAGGAGAGCGGGGCCUCUCCCGGAGGUGGACAUCCUCCCGGGAGCGCGGCCCCUGUGGGCACCAGGAGGCCCGGGGAGCAUCCACAGACCUCCCAGUGGCAGUUCUACCUGGUACCUGGGCCCACACCUGGCAGAGCAUGUGGACCGGGGCACACCCCUGACCUGGUUCCACUUCCUAGGUCGGGGAGGGCAUGCAGGGGGUAG
This is a long non-coding RNA of Bos indicus x Bos taurus (hybrid cattle), 1086 nucleotides long. NCBI's taxonomy places the organism in Eukaryota, Metazoa, Chordata, Mammalia, Artiodactyla, Bovidae. The record is from Ensembl.